This is a long non-coding RNA of Pongo pygmaeus (Bornean orangutan), 510 nucleotides long. RefSeq lists it as uncharacterized. The record is from RefSeq and is a predicted model, not a curated record. The transcript is spliced from 2 exons. Lineage: Eukaryota; Metazoa; Chordata; Mammalia; Primates; Hominidae.
CAGAUGCUUCCUCCUGGCCAAAUCCCAAAUCCCACCCUCAGCACCCACACCCUGAGCAGUGGGCAGGAGAGGCCUGAAAGCGUCUGUAUAAAUGGCUUCUGAGAAGCCCUGGUGAUAAAGGAGCUAGAGGCAGCCACACAUGGUUCCCAGAAGCUGAAUGCUGCGCAGACGACAGGAAUGACUUCACCCAUCCUGCUUCCACCCGCCAUAGCAGUGACCAAAGCAGCUCUGGGAGCACAGCUGAGCACCUCAGAAGAUAAGUCCCGGGGUGAUUCUUGUCAUCUCCAUGAAAAGGAGAGGACAAAAAGGCAGAGGCUGCUGCUUGAGGAUCCCUUCACCUGGGCUGCAUAGCUUCACCCAUGCUGACCAACUUCCCCGUUUCAAGUUUCAGACUCGCAGCCGCGCUAGUUAGGGUACAACUUGUUCAGACAGCUGUUUUCAUUCACAUCUCCAAAGGUCCUCUACCUUGGAAGAAGAAAGAAAGAGGGAAAGAGAAAUAAAAGAGAUUAA